GGAAGGAUCAUUACUAGAGCAAAGGACAGGCAGCGCCCCACAGAAGCUUGCUUCGUGGCGGGCUACCCUACUUCGGUAGGGUUUAGAGUCGUCGAACCCCUCGGAGAAGUUCGGUCCUGACCUCCACCCUUGAAUAAAAUUACCUUUGUUGCUUUGGCAGGCCGCCUCGUGCCAGCGGCUUCGGCUGUUGAGUGCCUGCCAGAGGACCACAACUCUUGUUUUUAGUGAUGUCUGAGUACUAUAUAAUAGUUAAAACUUUCAACAACGGAUCUCUUGGUUCUGGCAUCGAUGAAGAACGCAGCGAAAUGCGAUAAGUAAUGUGAAUUGCAGAAUUCAGUGAAUCAUCGAAUCUUUGAACGCACAUUGCGCCCUCUGGUAUUCCGGGGGGCAUGCCUGUUCGAGCGUCAUUAUAACCACUCAAGCUCUCGCUUGGUAUUGGGGUUCGCGGUCUCGCGGCCCCUAAAAUCAGUGGCGGUGCCUGUCGGCUCUACGCGUAGUAAUACUCCUCGCGAUUGAGUCCGGUAGGUCUACUUGCCAGCAACCCCCAAUUUUUACAGGUUGACCUCGGAUCAGGUAGGGAUACCCGCUGAACUUAAGCAUAUCAAUAAGCGGAGGAAAAGAAACCAACAGGGAUUACCUCAGUAACGGCGAGUGAAGCGGUAACAGCUCAAAUUUGAAAGCUAGCUCUUUUAGGGUUCGCAUUGUAAUUUGUAGAAGAUGCUUCGGGUGUGGCCCCGGUCUAAGUUCCUUGGAACAGGACGUCAUAGAGGGUGAGAAUCCCGUAUGUGACUGGGUGCUUUCGCUCAUGUGAAGCUCUUUCGACGAGUCGAGUUGUUUGGGAAUGCAGCUCAAAAUGGGUGGUAAAUUUCAUCUAAAGCUAAAUAUUGGCCAGAGACCGAUAGCGCACAAGUAGAGUGAUCGAAAGAUGAAAAGCACUUUGGAAAGAGAGUUAAACAGUACGUGAAAUUGUUGAAAGGGAAGCGCUUGCAACCAGACUUGCGCGCUGAUGAUCAUCCGGGCUUCUGCCCGGUGCACUCGUCUGCGCUCAGGCCAGCAUCGGUUUUGGUGGUGGGAUAAAGGCCUUGGGAAUGUAGCUCCUCUCGGGGAGUGUUAUAGCCCUCGGUGCAAUGCCGCCUACCGGGACCGAGGACCGCGCUUCGGCUAGGAUGCUGGCGUAAUGGUUGUAAGCGACCCGUCUUGAAACACGGACCAAGGAGUCUAACAUCUAUGCGAGUGUUUGGGUGUCAAACCCAUACGCGUAAUGAAAGUGAACGGAGGUGAGAACCCUUAAGGGUGCAUCAUCGACCGAUCCUGAUGUCUUCGGAUGGAUUUGAGUAAGAGCAUAGCUGUUGGGACCCGAAAGAUGGUGAACUAUGCGUGAAUAGGGUGAAGCCAGAGGAAACUCUGGUGGAGGCUCGCAGCGGUUCUGACGUGCAAAUCGAUCGUCAAAUUUGCGUAUAGGGGCGAAAGACUAAUCGAACCAUUGGGAAUAACUACUAGGUGGUUGAGAGGCUGCUGAGAGGCACGCCUAGUCCUGUGCGCAGGGCAACACUAUCAAAUUGUUCGGGGACGUCCUGUCAAAUCUCAAGCUACCGCAGCUGGCCCGAAAGGGCGGCGCGCACCGGGUUAACGACCCCGGGGAUGGUAAGAACGCUUGGGUAGGGAUUAUCCGCAGCCAACCUCUAAGGGGCGUCAGCCCUACGAGAUCGGUCCACAGACUUAACGAUAGUGGGCUCUCCGGAGCUUAAGAUAAAGUCGAACCCCCGGGAGACCGGGUGGGCUACAGCUAGUAGCUGGUUCCUGC
This 1804-nucleotide unclassified non-coding RNA is filed under the name uncultured fungus. RNAcentral's name for it is "sequence contains 18S rRNA gene, ITS1, 5.8S rRNA gene, ITS2, 28S rRNA gene". The stretch from base 560 to 1804 matches the Rfam family "Eukaryotic large subunit ribosomal RNA", at positions 1 to 1154 of the family's 3401-position model. Lineage: Eukaryota; Fungi. The record is from RNAcentral.